AUUUAUCACAUUAACAUCAAAAAUCAUUUGAAAUUAAAAUAGACUUAUUUCUAAGAAAAACAGAACCACGUGAGUCUUAGGCAGCAACAGGGGCAGUUUCAGAAGGUUUGUCUCAGUCUCAAUAGAGACAGACCAAUCCUAAAAUUCUGGGCAAAAGAAAUAAUAUUUCGCCUUUUAAUUAUUCUAAUAUUUUUCUUUUUGUAUUUUUGUUGCACAAGAUUUAUUUAUAAUCAAAGUUCUUUAAAAAGAUAUUUUAAAUAGAAUUAAUCAAAGUAAAUUAAAAAGAAAUAUAUCUAUAUUAUACUUACUACUAAGUAAAAAUAAUAAUUUGGAUGCGCUUAAAAAAAUGAUGCCCUGGACUACCAUUCCUCCCGUCCACCCUCAGGGGCACCCUUAUAGAGACAAUUGUGACAGUUUCGGAUAGUUCAAUUGCUUGAUUAAUCUAGAUAUUUAUUGGUAAUAAGAUUUUUUUUUUUUGAACAAGCCAAAAUGCAAAAUAAUAAAUCACCAAGAGUGUUUCAUCUCGCACAAGGUGUGCAAAAGAGAAACACCCCAAAAAUUGUACAAAACAGUCACGAAUAUCUCAUACUGGAGCACCUCCAAAUUCCAAGGAAAACAGACAUAAAUUACAGCAUUAGACCCAUAAAAGAUAAAGGAGACCUCCACUAGUCAUGAUGAUAGCUGAACACGAAAGUAAUGAGAUUCGCCUUCAAUCACUGGAAAGAUGUCAUUUUUAGCUUGUCUGUUAAUAUAGUUGGAGCCAAUGCCUUGUUAUUAAAAACUCUGUUAUUCCUGUCCUUCCAAAUGAUUCAGACACACUCAAAUUGAUGUCUAACCAAUGGAGAAGAUCAUACCAGACGCUGCCAAAGGUUGUGCAACCAAGAAACAAGUGACCUGCAUUCUCCUCACUACCGCACCCUCCAACACAACUGAUAUCGUCAUACUGAAGAACACGACGGCGCAAAGAGAUUAUCUUUUGUCGGAAGACGGUUACGAAGAAGACGCCAAGCAAAAAUUGAAACCUUUAAUGGGACUUUCUUAUGCCAAACGUCAUUGAACAAUCCCCUUGCAAUAGGUUCAUCACCUGUUGUUAGAAAUUUAUAUGUUCCCUUAACAGAGUAACCAUUAACGGGAUCAAGAAGCCACCUCUACUUAUCUGACAAAUAAUCCUGCAAAACAAUAUCAUGUAACAAGACAUAACAUUGCCUAACACAAUCCUCCUCCCAAGUAGGGCUGGAAAUGAGCCGAGUGGAAUCGAACCUGUUUGAGUUCGACUUGGCUUGUUAAGAAUUGGCUCGGUCCGGACCUCGUUCGAGCUUGACCCGAACUUUUUUUUUCAGUCCGAGUUCGGCUCGUUUAAAGUUCACGAACAGUUUGGUUCGGCUCAUUAGGUUCAUUUCGUUUGUUCAAAGCACGUAACUUUAGGUUAGGUAUGGAAAUAAGUAAAGCCGCUUGAACCACGUAACUCAAAAGUCAAAAGAAUUUAAAUUUUUUACCCAUAAAAUAUAUUGGAAUUUAUACCAAUUUUUAAUGGACUGAACGAGACUAUUAUUACACAUAGUAAUUAACAUCGAUAUGCAACCACCAAAUUGAAUUUUGCCUUCUUGUGCCAUAUGUUUCUCUUAUUAUAUAUAUGAUCAAUUAUCUAUAAAUUUUAAAAUAUUUUUUUAAAUGUUAUAUAUAUAUAUAAUCGAGUCAUCUCGUGAACCAAACGAGCCGAACUACAUAUAGCUCAAGUUCAGCUCAAUUAAUUCACGAACUUAAUUUUCAGCUCAAGUCUGGUUCAUUUGGUUCAUGAACCAAGUUCAAUGAAUCAACUGUCGAAUCGAAUUACGAACUUUAAUCGAGUUGGUUCGGUUCAUUGUCAGCCCUACUCCCAAGCAAAUAGGCGCCUCCUCAACACCCAAGCACUCCCCAUCCUCCCAACCCUGCAUCGCCAUAUCCUCUACAGUUGCCCAUUUGUCAAUGGUUAAAUCAAAAAGGCGAGGAAAUCUUAACCGUAAAGGCACACUUCCCACCUAGUUAUCCGUCCAAAAGAAAGUGGUACCUCCCCCGCAAUCCAUGCGCAUACAUUAUCUUCAAACCAACUUCCAUCCCCCCACCCUACACCACCACGAAUGCGUGACUGCAUCCGCCACCAUAAAGAACUGUCACGCCCCCUCCUUCAGGCGCCCACCUUCCUCCCCGUACCUAGCCUUCAGGACUCGAUACCACAACCCCUCCUUAUCAACCAACAUCCUCCAACUCCACUUCCCUAGUACUGCUAAAUUAAAUUCAUACAAUCUCCGCACACCUAGCCCUCCUUCCUCCUUAGGGACGCAAAUCGAAUCCCAAUUCACCCAGGCAAUUUUCCUAAAAUCCGCACCACCCCCCCAAAAAAAUCUUUUUAAUAAAGUUGUAAGGGAAGAAAAUAUACAUGUGGGAGCCUUGAAAAAGGAAAGAAAGUAAACCGGAAGAGAAGACAGGACAAAUUUCAACAAUACCAGACGGCCAACAAAAGAUAGAAACUUAUUUUUCCACACCGAUAACCGAGACACAAUGUGAUCAAGCACAGGUUGCCAAAAACUACACCGGCGCAUAUCCGCACCAAUAUGUAAUCCCAAAUAUAUAAAAGGAAUUUUACCCGUCCAACAAUUCAUAACCGACACUGCUUCAGUCAACCAAGAGUCUGACACAUUGACACCCGUUAGCAUACUCUUGUGAAAAUUAACCUUCAAUCCGGAUGCCGCCUCAAAAAGAAUUAAAACUGCCUGCAUUGACCUCACAUUCAACCAACUCUUCUCCCCUAUAAUCAAUGUAUCAUCCGCAAAUUGAAAGUGAGUUAACUGCACCUCAUUGUGAUUACCCACAUGGUAACCAGUAAACAAAUGAGCAUCCACCAAAUACUUCAUCAUGACAUUAAACCUCUAAGCCGCUAUCAGAAACAAAAUGGAGAUAGAGGGUCCCCUUGUCGGAGCCCCCUUUCUAAAGGAAACUCCUCUGUAGGGCUGCCAUUCACCAACACGGAUGCCACCGUAGUUCCUACACACUCAGCAAUCCAUUUCCUCCAAAGAGUCGGGAAAUUCAUUUUAACCAUGACCGUAUCAAGAUAUUAUUUUUAAUCAUAUAUUUCAUUACUUUUUAACUUAGCUCAAUGUUUUAGGAAUUUAUUCCGAAUUUCAAUUUUGCUUAUUAUAUUAGUCUAAACUGUUUGUUUAAAAUGAUUUCUUUCCUAUUUAAUUUGUUGUUGAACUUUGUUAUACAAUUUCUUCUAAAUUCACAUCAUCAAUUUAAAUUUUCUCAAAUUAUUAAUCUAAAAUAUGAAAAUUCUUUUCAUCUUUGUGAAAUCAUUUAUUAGAGAAUGAGUCAUAAAAAUGAAAUGUGUUUUUUAGUUAGGCGAAUGAGUUAGAAGCAUCUAGUAUCACAUUUUAUUCAUUGUGGAAACACACACUUUUAACAUUACUAUCUAUUAUUUAUAUCUAUUGUCAAAAAACACUAUUAUUAAUAUCUUAGAAAUGCAUAAAUACAAUCCAUGCUCUCUAAAUUUUACAUGACAAUUUACCAAAUGUAUAUCGUUUAAAAAGUUUCAUUGUGAAUGAGUUUGUCUUAUUAUAUUAUUCUAAAAUGUUUCAUGAUUUUGUUGUCUAAUAUGAAAUUAUUUUUUCCUAUUUGUAGUUGAAUAUUGUCAUGCAAUUUCUUCUAAAUUCUUUUUCUCAUAUUAUCAAUAAAAAAAAGUUAUUUCAUCUUUGCGAAAUCAUGAUUGGAAUGGAGAAUGAGUCAUAAAAAUGAAAUGAGUUUUUCAUUUAGGUGAAUGAGUUAGGAGCAUCUACUAUCACAUUUUAUUCAUUAUUAAAAUGCACACUUUUAACACAAUUAUUUUUUUAUUUUUUUAUCUUAGACAUACAAAAAUACAUGUCAUUCUCUCUGGAUUUUUCUUCCAUUUUUUCCUUCAUUUAAACUAUUUAAUCAUUUUUAUAAUAUUAUUUAAAUUUUAAAUCAUCAUUUAAAAAAUUAGUGAAAUAGAAACAAUACAUUACAACAAUAGAAGUAACAAUCCAUAAAUAUUCCCUAAAAAAAAGAAUCCAUAACAAUAUUGGACACUAUAAGAAAAACCUUAUUUUAACCUUAUAUAAAAAAAUAUUUUGGUGGGGGGUAACAUCUUUUCUUAAAUUCACUUAAUUAUUUUUACCAUUUUAUUUGCUCUUUAAAAAAUUGCCAAUUAUUUCUUUUUUGAAAAAUAUUAGUUUACAAUAAUUAUGAUGUAAAAUGAUAAAAAAAAAAAAAAAAAAAAAAGUGAUAUUUACAUUUUUAAUGUUAACUAAACUACGAACUACAAUACUUUAAAUAUUUUGAAAACUCAGAAAUACUCAAGUUUAUUUCAAUUUCUAACUUUUUUAAGCCAUUCAUACUACUAAAAUCUUUUUUUUUUUUUUUUGUGGUGGCCAGGGUUUGAACCUCAGACCUUACAUAUAUUAAAUAUUGUCCAUACUAAUUGAGUUAACCUCACAAAGACAUACUAAAAUCUAUAUAACACAAGCAAAACAUGAUUAUUUUUUAUUCCUCUACAAAUUUUAUCCACAAGUUCAAUCUUUUCUUUUUUUUCCUUCCGAAAGUAAACUUGAAAUUUGUAGUUUUCACGUUUCCAUUUUUGAAUCAUAUUCACUAUUUGAGACAAACCAUUUCAUUCUAAUCCUAAUAUAUUACUCCCUCCGUCCCAAAUUGUAUGUCGCUUUAGGAAGAAAAAAAAUGUCCCAAAUUAUAUGUCGUUUUACAAUACCAAUGCAACAUUAAUGUUAUUUUUUCUAUUAUAACCUUAACUAUUUAUUACUAUCUUUUCUUUCAAUUCUUUCAUUUAUCUUUCUCAUGUUAUUUAUUAAGGACAAUUUUGUAAAACAACUCAUAAUAUCUUUUUUCCAUACAAUAUUAAUUGCAUUUCUUAAUAUGUGUGAAAUGCUCAAAACGUCAUACAAUUUAGGACGGAGGGAGUAGACACAACUUUUAUUCCUAUUCCUCUUUCCCCCAUUACCUCAAAGUUCAACCUGACAUUGUUCAUCCACAUGAAACCUUCAAGAAAACUCAUAUGUGCUAGUAAUAAUAGUGUUCCUUCACCCGUAUCAUUGACUAUAGAUACGGUUACUUCAUUCAUAGUUAUGGCCAUUAGCCAUGGUUAUGACAGAUAGUGAAUUAUUACCGCAAGUAACAGUGAAAAAACCAUGUCGGCGAGUGAAAUAGACAUAAGCUCAAGUAGUGGAUGAGUUGUUGGCUCUGACCGUGUGCUCGUUGAAGAACAAGUCGACGACUCAUAGCCAAUGACUUGGUUAAGCGAAAUUGUUUCUUAGCGUAGCGAAAGCGAGGAUCAUUGUCAAAACAACUGAUUUUGAUUAGCGCCAUUUAAUCAUAGAGUUGGCUGCUUUUCGGUCAACUAUGCAUAAGUACAAAUCACACAUGUGAAUUUUAACUUUUUAUAUAUGUUGGGGCCACCUACAAUUCAUAUGAAUUUUAACUAAGUACUAUCUUUGAAUAAUAAGCCUCAUCAGUAGUCGUAACGAUGGUGGAAUCAGCAAUGGCUGAACAAUAAUGCAGUUUUAGUUUCUUAUGUCACACCUAAUUUCAUAGUUUCUUAUCAAAAUGAGAUUAUUUUUUUUACAGAAGAUCUUGCGUGGGUUGAUUCAUACCUAACAAUUUUGAUAUUUUAGAAAGUGAUUGGAUGCCUUUUAGAAAUGCUUUGUUAGAAAUUAUCAGUUCCGAAUUCAAUCUUCCAAAGUUGAUGACAGAGAAGGCAAGUAUUCCUUGUGGUAGAGGAGACAAAUAUUACUUUCCAACUCAAUCAGUCAUUUUCGACUUCUGAUGUAGAGCACUUGCAAAGUCGUUCUUCGAGUAUAAUGUUAGCCUAAUAAGUAUGGUUACAGAACCAAGCACAAACACUGAAUUCACUAACACCUUAUCUUUUUCAACCUUUUAAGGAAAUCUUUUUUUGCCAACUUAUAAUAUGGACGAGACCGAACAAAACAUUUGAUUUAUGACUUGAGCUUGAUUCUGCAACUUAUGAGAUGGAUUAGGCUUAGGCAUCUGAGAAUAUCUUCAAACUCUUGGGAUGUGGGUUAUGCAACUGAUGAGAGUGACUGAGAGUAUCUUCAAAGUUUGGGAUUUGGGUGAACUUGUUAAAGAGUUGAAAAACGCUAUAUCUUUCUUUGCGGAAGGACCUGAAGGAAAGAUCGCUUGAUGAUCUUAUUGCUGGCAUUGCUGAUUUGUCUUUAAAUAAGAAAGUUUAAUUUUCUUUAAUCUUGAUCCAUCUAUUUUAACUCUAUUUAAGUAUUAGCAUUAGAAGCGUUAAUGAGUACAGAAAAUACUAAAGGAAUAAGAAUAUAAAGGAAGUUAACGAGUAAUUAGCAGCAAGGACAAUUUGAUUUAUAGUUCAAAUUAAAGUAGUCAACAACAUUCAUUACAAAUUGCAAAAUAAGAUAUAGUGUAUGUUUGGUAUAACAAUUGCAAAACGAAGUUUGAUAGAAAUCACGGCAAAAAACUAUGUCAGGGUAGAAGCUGGUAUUUGGAGCUUCUGUAGAUCACGAUUCACGACAAAAACACAUCAGGAAACGUGCAAAUAUGCUUUUGUUUGUUGCAAACACGAAACCAAACACACAUAGUUAUAGACUUCUAGUAGCUUAUAUACCACUACCAGUAACACAUCACAUUGAAAGUAUUUAUCACAUGAACACCAAACAUCAUUCAAAAUUAAAAUAGACUUAUUUCUAAGAAAAACAGAACCACAUGAGUCUUAGGCAGCAACAGUGGCAGUUUCAGAAGGUUUGUUCUCAGGCUCAAUAGAGACAACUGUGGCAGUUUCAGAAGGUUUGUUAUCAGGCUCAACAGGGUCAAUAGUUACAGCUUCUGAAGGCUUGUUUUCAGGUUCAGCCUCAGUUGCAGUUUCUGUGGGAUUGUUUUCAGGUUCUACCCAGAAUUCAGUUUUCUUUCCAGUUUUGGAAACAGUGUCAAAAACAUCUUGUGGCUUUACAUUUCCUUUCACAGUCACUUUUUGUUCCUUCAUAUCAAUGUCAAAUGAUUCUACACCUGUGAAGAACAAAUGUGUUAUUUUGAUACAAUAUUCAUAGAGGAUGUUUGGUUGGUAUAUGUCCAUCCCCUUGGUUAUGUCACAUAACACUAAUUCAAAUUCAAAUUGAAAGGUUUUGAAAAUUAUUUAAACAGUUUGAAAUGAAAUAACCAUGCUAUAGAUGUUGAAAUAGAAAUAAGUAAACAUAUGGACAGCAUAUCUUGAUUAACCUUUCAAAAAAAAAAACAUAUCUUGAUUAAUAAAAUUUAUGGGAAAAAAUAUAGAGAUAUUACAUUGUCACAAUUAUUAAUUCAACAUGAUAACAAAGAUUAUUUAUUUGCUCUAGGAAUUAAAAAUACCUUCCAUUUUUUCCAAGACCCUAUUGACUGCUCCUGAACAGCCUGAGCAUGACAUUUUUACUUUGAGGACAACGGUCUGCAAUGAUCACAAUGGAAAAAUUUCAAAUUCAUAGUAAAUAGCAUUUUUUUUUAUAAAGGUUAAGCACAUUCAUAAAUUGAAUUCAAUUUAAAAAAGGAAAAUAAUUUGAAGAUGGUGAUAAUAAGAACAAGGCCGUUCUCGUGAGUUUAACUCAGUUGAUAGAGACAAUGCAUAAUAUAUGCAAGAAUCAACAUUUGAGCCCCGGACACCUCACUUAUUCAUCUUAUAAAUGUGAAUUUCUAGCCACUAAACUACUUGACAAAAAAUAUAAGAACAAAGCAGGGCAUAAAAAAAGUAGGAAUAUCUGACAGAAUAGUCAUGUGUGGAUCCUUAGGAUAACUUGAUAAAGCAGAUUAAUCAAAAAAUGUAUUGCUAUCAAAAAAACAAAAUCAAACUAAUAACAACACAAAUUUAGGAAAAAACUGGAGGCCUACAUAUAUAAUCUAAAAGUAAAUCUAAAGAUUUGUAACAAACAAGGAAGAAAUAAUCAUUCUUUGCUUUAUUAGUGUUAGAAUUGAACUUCUACUUCGUAAUUUGUUGACAUGCAAUAACAAUGAAAUUUGUAUCAUGCAAUCAUCUUGUAUGUGAGUGCAUAUCAUCAAAAGGAAGAAAAAAAAUUGAUCAAUCUUCUCUACUUUCAUCAGAACCAAAUUUUCUAAUAUAAUUAUAAAACAAAAUACAAAAAAUUACAAAGGAUCCAUGAUAUCUCAAUUCAAAAACUCAUCAACUUCAACACAAAACGUCUAAAGCAAGGAACUAGAUCAAAGAAAAAACAUAAAAUAAUAAAUCCAGAAUCACAAUGAUCAAGCUUAAGAAAAAUAGAAGAUCAACAACAACAUAGAAAAAGAAGUAUAAAGGUUAAGCACCUCAGAAGACAUGGUUAUGAGUUUGAAAUAAAGUGAACCAAAAAGAAGAAGAAUGUAUUCUGAAUUGGAUGGUUAUGGAAUGAGGGUUGUGGUAAUGGGAGUGGUGCCUUUAUACUAAAAAUCAAUGAGAAUAUGUGGUAAUGGGAGUGGUAGUAGCAUUGUAAUAUACGGAAUUACUCCAUUAUGUUGCAAAAUAUUCUUUUUUUUUAAAAGCUAUUCACUUUGAGGGAUAAUGCAUAAUAUAUAUAGAGGCCGAAGUUCGAACACUCCAUUUAUAUGAUACUAGUAAUAGUUAAUUUUAUUUUUGUAAAAAAAAAAAGGAUAAAUUUUAUUAAAUUUUAGCAUUAGUUCUUUAACCCCUCAAAAGAAUUAUUAGUUCUUUAAAAAAGAUUUUUUUAUUUUUUCUUGAAUUAUUAAUACUUUACUAUCAUUUAAUUUAGUUUGACUUUAUGUCAAUUAUAUUUUUAUUAAUAUUUAUUAAAGUAUUUUGAAUUGUGUUAUGAUAAAAUAAGGAUUUAAUUCACAUACAUGAUAAGUUAAAGAAUUUUUACAUUAUCAGUCCCUCAAUAUUAUUUAGAAUAUAUAUUUGACUUUUAUAAUCAUAAUUAAUUUUAAAGUCAAAAUUAAACUCAAAAUGUUAUGAUAAGGAAUAAUUAAAUAAUUGUGAAAAUUUUGCUUACACGAUUUGAUGGAUGCAUUAAUCAUUGAAUUUUUUAAAUUAUGAGAUUAGACAUGAGCAGUUAGAAUUUAUUAAGAGUUUACUUUUAAUAGAAUAAGAUAAGAUUUUACUUGUUUUUUCUCAUUUGUUUAUGUUUCUAUAAUAGAAUUAGAAGUCAAGACAGGGUGUGCAGGUUGGUGAGCCAAUAUAUUGGAAGCAGGCUUAAUGAUAAUUAAAAGCAGAAUUUUGCAGUACAAAAGAAAUACAACCGGAGGUUCCAAUGCUUCCUUUUCAAGCUAAAAAAUUGUUGUACUUCACAGUUGAAUUCUAACUCUAUUUGUAAGUAUUGUAGUACAAGUCUAGAAGAACUUUUUUCUCUUUUUCUUUCUUUAUCAUCAACGAGAAUCGGUCUUACCUAAAACAAAAUGGUUGGGCCUUGAAGGGAACUCAUUGAUCAACAUAAAAGUGGAUUGCACACCCACUUUUUUGUAACCUCUUCUCAAUGGAAAGUUUUUUAUUCCAUAAACACUUACAUCGUCGCUGACACUCAACAUCAACGAAAAUCCUACUAUUGUCAGAAAGAUUUUCGUUACAACAAUGGUAAAAUGAAGGGAGUCUUGAAAUCAUCUUAUUGAAUUAGGAGAAAUCAUAUAAGUGAAGGGAACCUUGAAAUAAUCUCAUUGAAUCAGGAGUAAUAAACCUUGACAUUAGGUAUAUAAUCAAGUCAUCUUCACACUUACUAUACCAACAAAACAAACUUAUGAUAUUAUUUUUUUUGAGUAUGAUAUUUGAUUUUUUUUAUAAUUCGCAUAACUUUUCCGUUAAAUUAGUGAAAUUUAGAAAUAAAUAUAUAUAUCAUCAUUCAUUAUGUCGGUGUAUAGUUAGGACAAUGGGAUGAAAUAAAAUUGUACCCGCAUGGAUCCAUGGAUAGAAUAUGUAAGUAAAAUAAAUGAAUAUUUCAAUUACCCGUUAUUUAACAUGUACGUUGCGAAUUUAAUGAUACUCGUUCAUGUAAGUAUCAUUAUACUUGUUAAUAAAUUAAAAAAUUACUUAAAUAUCCUUACCUGAAUAUAAAAGUUGUCUUUCAAACUAUUUCCAUAAAAGAAAAACCUAGAUAUUAUUUAUGUUCCUCUCUUUUGGACCUCUCAGUGCUUCCAUAGACCUCAUAUUUUGUAUACUUUUGUUGAAUGUGAUGAACUUUAUUUUGGUUGAUGAAAUGUAUUAAUAUUAUUAUGUUUUCGAAAAAUGAAGUAAAUGAAUGUGACAAACUUUUGUCGCUAUAUUUUAGGUAAUUAAAAAAAAUUACAUUUAUUUUAUAAUGUUAUCCAGGAAUAUCCAUUAAAAAAAAUUGAAAACUAGGUAUCCGAUCCAAUAACCGACUAUUUUGAGGGGAUCAAUCUCACUAGCCACAUGCGGAGGCCUCGUUUAAAGCCAAACAAAGUUAUGCAUGGACUUGUCCACCAAAAUUAGCACCAAAGGGAAUCGAACAUGAGACAUUGAGAGGAGCACGCUCCAAGAUUCUCAAGCCAACCACUAGACCAACCCCAAAUGAGUAUGAAUAUUGAUAAAUACUCGUUGAUACCUCAAAAUUUGUGGAUUACUCACAUAAUGGAUAUCCACGUGAAUAUGAAGAAACCAUGUGUUUAUGUACGGACUUGCCCACCGAAAUUAGCAUCAGAGAAAAGCGAACCCGAGACUUUGAGAGGAGCACACUCCAAGAUCCCCAAGCCAACCACUAGACCAACCCCAAAUGAGUAUGAAUGUUCAUAAAUACUCGUUGAUACCUCAAAAUUUAUGGAUUACUCGUAUAAUAGAUAUCCACAUGAAUAUGGAGAAAACACGUGUAAUAGAUUUAUCCAAUGGAGCGAACAUAUAUAUCAUAUAAUUCGUGUGUGCAGAUACCCAUUUACAUCCCUAGUUAGGACUCACAAACAAAUUAAUAUAUGGGUUAAUAGGUCUUUAUCCCUCUGUAAUAUAGGUCAUUUCCGGUUUCCCUCCUGUAAAUUUUUUUUUUAUUUACCCCUUGUAAAAAAAAAAAAUAUUUACCCCCUAAUAGGCCAAACAAAAACGAAAAAUUUCUUGAAAAAAAAUUUUUGUUUUUGUUUGGCCUAUUAGGGGGUAAAUCAAAACAAAAAGAUUUUACAGGGCGUAAAUAAAUAAAAAAUUACAGGGGAGAAAACCGGAAAUGACAUAUAUUAUAGGAGGUAAAGACCUAUUAACCCAUAAUAUAUUAUUUACAUGCUUGAGGAUAUAUAAUUUGAUAUUUUCUUACAGUUUAAUCUUUAAUGCUAAGAGUCUUGAGUUAGAAUAUACCAUACCAUCCCAACUCGAGUGUUUAUAUGCGUAAGAAUUAAGAUUAGUUCAACAAAUAAAGUUGAGUUAGGAAAAAAAAUCAAAUUAUUAUAGAGAUAGCGACAAUAUUUUGAGGUUUUAGUUUUUACAAUAAAGUAAGGUUGAAGAAAUAUUAUUAUUGCAUGGCAUGCAAUAAUGAAGUGGGCUUCGUCAUUCCUCCAAUCAAAAUUGUCCCCCUCUUAGUGGAAUGAAUUCCUUAAAGCAUAGGAUAAUAUUGCAGUACAAGAAAUGUAAUACAACCUUUAUUAAGCAAAAACUAAUAAUAUGGUAGUAUGUAGUACCAUGACACUUUUGAGUAUGAAUUCCAAUAUUGUAUUGGUAGAUACUAACCUUGUAGUACAAAGUAGGUGUCUCAAACGUUGUACUAUACUCUUUCUUUUUUUGGGAUACAAUGUACUACUCUCUUUAUUUACUAUAGUCAGUACCACAUAUGCAUGGGUAGAACUUAAGAAAGGUUAAGUCAUAUAUUCUCUCUCAAAAAAAAAAAAAAAAAGUUAAGUCAUAUAUAACCUCAACUAAUUGAGCUUGCAUGGCAUUAUAUCCCACUAAUGGUAUGUUAAGAUGGAAUUUAUUUUGUAAGAAAAGAGGGAAACGACUAAACAAUAAGUCGAGAAGUACUAAGUAUUAACGCAUCUAUGGUUUCUUCUUAAGCAAGCAAUCUGAAACUAGGGUUUCUAAUGAAGGAGAAGAAGAUAGUUAUGGCGGUUAGGGUUUGUUAUAGUUUGAUGAAAGAGAGAGAGAUAGUAUUGGAAAGUUGUUAUUCAUGUUGGAUUAUGAAAAGUUAGUUACAAGCAAGUAUAUAUACAAUGACUUAGAGAGCAAGUCUCUUGUAACAACCUGACAAACUUAUCCAAAAAAUAAACUAAACUCUUAAUCACUUGCUAAACAUGAUUAUGGAUUAAAAACACAAACUAAUACUAACAUACACUACAAAGCUAAAUUAAGCAAAGAAAAAAUAUAAUCAACACUAAAGAAUGAAUUAUGUUAGCAAGCAAGUGAAUCGUAUGUGUUAGGCCCUAUAGGGAUUUAUUAGAAGUUCUCUAAUUAGGGUGUUGGAGAAUAAAACAAUCUCAUGGAGAAAAGAUUGGAGAAAAAUAAUGGACUACUCUUCGAAUUCACAAUGUGAACAACAAUUUUUUAUAAUACAUUUCAAACGCAACCGGGUUUAGAGCUAAAUCAUGAGCCAAUUUUAAAUCCAAAUGAAGAGCCCACAAACAAUUUAUAUUUCUUUUAAACAUAAACAAUCCUAAAAGGAGAAAACUUAGGUACAAUUCCUUAUGUACUUUUCGUAUGGUUUUUAACUAAAUUCACCAUGAUUUCCUCAAAUCCAUAAUUUUCACAAAGUUUGUUAUAUCCAAAAAAUAUGUAUUUUUAGUUAAGAACCAUACAAAAAGUACCUAAGUAAUUGUAUCUAAGUUUUCUCCAUCCUAAAAUUCAGAAGAAAAAAAAUAUGAGAGAUGUUCACACUUACUUAUUGGUUGUAGAUAAUAUGUGAUUUCUAUGACUUUAUUAAAUUUGUUGAAGAUCAACAAUUGAAUGAAUAAAUAAGUCUUUUGGUCCAAAGUUCAAGUUUGAAAAGUUUAAACUAGGACAUCAUUAGGCUGAUGAGGCGUCUCAUUUGGUGUUGAUAUAUUUUUUUUUUUUUAUCCUCGUGAGCUUAGCUCAGUCGGUAUGGACAAUGCAUAAUAUAUGCAAGGUUCGGGUUCAAACCUGGCCACCACAAAAAAAAAAAAAAAAAAACAUUUUUGAUUGUUAAAAAAAAGUUUCAAAAGUUUAAACCACCAAAAACGUAUAUGGCAGAUUGUUGAGAAAUUAAAAAUGGGAGUUAUCUACAGAAACUCACCAAACGGGAGUUAUCUCCGGAACAAAUUUGAGAAAUUAAAAAUGGUCAGAUUAAAAUUGAAGAUUUUUUAUGGGGAUUAUAAAUGCAUUUAAGUUAAAAAAAAAUUCUAUGAUGAAGUCAUGAGAAUGACUUUUCUGGUGAAGUUAAUCCUAUGACUAAUCUAUUUCUCUUCUUAAAGUUUGCUUUGAUAAUUUAAAAAUAAAUCCAAAAAUGUAUGUAUUCCUUAUCUGAGAUUCCAUAUUCUUUCAAUGAUGUCUCAUGAAAACAUAUGCAAUAAUCAAUAUGUGCUUGAAAGGUGCAACCACAAAUUGAUUGAGAUGAAACAAGACAGAGUUCAAGAGGUUAAAGCCCACCUAUCCAGGUUCAACAUAAAUAUAGCCAAUCAUUCAAAACCGACGAUCUCUUCUAAUCAUAAACUAAUAGGUUAAAAAUUAUUUCAACUUAUGGAUGUCUUACAAGUAUGCAAACUUCAUUAUGGGAACCCAAAAACUACAACAAAAAAAUUACAGGGACUAAAACCAAAACGAGACAUAUAUGCAGAGACUAUUAGCCAAAAAAAAAUAUACUGGGAAGGACAAAUUUUACAACUGUUUCUAAUAAGAUUUGAACAAAGUUACAAAAUCAAAUUCUUAUUAUUAAGUUGAUAUCUCAUCAUUCAUCAAUAACAAUGUCUUUAUUGAAUUAUAAAAUACUCAAAUCAAUUAAUCUCAAAGUUUAGCUUAGGGUUCACGAUCUGAAAUAAUGCUUUGAGUUCUUGAUUCACGAGUUGCUUCACUGAAAUUUCUCUCAAAGGAAUGCUUAAUGGUGUAACCUCAAUGGAAAAACUUUGUGACACACUUUUCAUUGUUGGUCUAGAGGAAGGAUUUGGAUUUAAGCAUGCAGAUGCUACUACAACAACAUGAAUUAUGUCAAGUAAAACUUUCACAUCAUUUGGAAGUGGGAGACGUUGGUCUAAUACUUCACAUAAUUUGAUGUCUUGAGUUGAUGUUAAUUGAAGUGAUGACAAUAUUUCCUCGGGAUAUCUUCCCACUAAAAUUUCAAGUGCCACUACUCCAAAACUAUAUACAUCACAUUUUUCACUUACAACCAUAGUAUAUGCAAGCUCUGCAUUGACCAAACCACAAUGAGAAAGUCAAAGGAUGUGAAAAUACACUUAAAAAUAGAAAAUGAUAAAGAUAAUAUAAAAAUAUAUUAUUAUAACUAACUCUUAAAUAUAAAAAGUAUAUAUUAUUUUUAAUUGGGAGUUUAUUUGAAACAAGUAAUGAUUAUAUUUAACAAUUCAAAAUGAGAAUUUCUUUUCAACGAGACCUUGUAUUUAAGGGUAAAGUUAGGAGUAGACUUUUAUGACCUUAGUAUUAAAAACAAUUAAACAUGUAUGUCUUUUUUUCGUCAAGUAAUCUAAUGGCUAAAAUUCACAUUUUUUAAGAUGAAUAAGUGGGGUGUCUGGGGUUCGAAUCCCGACCCCUGCCAACUGAGUUAUUCUCACGGGGACUUAAACAUGUAUGUUAUUUGCCUGGAUUAUGAAUAUGUUUGUUAUGCAUCAUACAAAAAUUGGAAUAAAUUAAAUAAAGAGACAAGAAUAAAAUUAAUGCAAUUAAUAAUUUACCAGGAGCUAUAUAUCCAAUAGUUCCACCAACUAUUGUUUGAUUAGAUGAAUCAUAUUGAAGGAGUCGAGCUAUGCCAAAGUCAGAAACACUAGGCUGCCAUUCUGAGUUUAGCAAGAUAUUGCUAGUAGAUACAUCUCUAUGCACUAUUGGAGAGGUGAAAUCAUGAUGAAGAUAUGAUAGAGCAGAUGCAACUCCUUUAAUGGUGUUAACCCUUUUCCUCCAAUCGAAUUUUAUGGCUUCGACAUCAUCAUGCAAGACGGAGAACAAGCUUCCUUUUUCCAUAUACUGAUAGAUCAAAAACAUAACUCUUUUAUGCAAACAAAAUCCAUAAAGCUUCACAAUAUUUCUGUGCUUUAUUUCUGAUAAUAUUUUCACUUCAUUUCUAAAACUUUCAUCAAGAGAUGGCACCUCUGCUUCGUAGCUAUGAAGUUUUUUUAGUGCAACAAAUUUACCACUUGGUAAUUGUGCCUUGUAAACACUUCCAUAUGCUCCUUUUCCAAUGCAAUAUUUAAUGUCAAAGUCUUUUGUUGCUCUAAUGAUGUCAUUGUAUGCUAUUUUGCCAUCAUAAUUCCAUAUACAAAAUAAAUCACCAUUAUUCGUUGUCUCCGUGUUUCCAUGCUUGUUCUUGAUAGAAUUAUGACGACGUUUGAAGUACACGAGAAGUGAGAAGGCUAUGAUUAGAAUAGAAAGGAUAGGAAGAACAAUGAAAACAAUACGCUUUACUUUGCUAUUUUUCUUAUGAGGUUGCAAUUGGUCAUAUGAAGUGUCGAUACAUACAUCUUUGUUCCUUGUGUUCCUUGGAUUAAGAUAAGUACAUUGUGGAAUGGGAACUUUCAAACAAUUGUAAGAAAUGUCCAGAUAAAAAACAUUACAGAGAGAUUGGGGUAUCGUUCCACUGAGAUUAUUAUUACUUAAAUUAAGUUUGUAAAAAUGUCCAAACUGAGAAGGGAUUUCGCCACUAAUUUGGUUGUGACUAAGGUCAAUGGAAGUUCCAUAAUCUUUCAAUGGAAACAAAUUGGAACGAAGUGUACCAUUGAGUAAAUUGUGGGAAAUCUCAAGGGUUUCUAAAUGAGAGAGAUUUUUCACCAAAAUAGAAAAGGCGCCACUGAUGGAAUUAUAUUUUAACCGCAACGUUUUCAAUUUGGUUAAUUGGUCGAAAUUAGAUGGGAGGGAACCGGUGAGAAAAUUGUUAGAGAUGUCAAUGUAUUGUAAUUGUGUGAGAUUUGUAAGGAAAAUAGGCAAGUUUCUACUUAGUCGGUUGUGCGAUAAAUCUAUUUUUUGGAGAUUAUUCAAGAACCCUAACUCAAGAGGAAUGGAACCUUGAACGUGGUUGUUAGAGAUGUAUAGGUACUCGAGUUGUGUGAGAUUUCCUAGUGAAGAAGGAAUGAAACCUUGAAUAUUGUUAAAAGAAAUAUCAAGAUACUCUAAUCUUUUAAGAUUUCCAAGCGAAGGAGGUAACUCACCUACAAGAGAAUUGCUACGCAGAUCGAGAUAUGCAAGCUUUGCGAGAAGACCAAUUUCUUUUGGGAUACGCCCUCGUAGACCAAUUCCAAUGACAUCAAGUUUUUCUAAAUUAUGAAAAACAGACAUGUUGAGUUUUUCAAAUUGAAUAACCCAUGUCCUUGUUGCAAAAUAUAUAUUGAUUUCUUUUAUACUUCCAGCCUCAUUGCAAGAUAUACUAGACCAACUACAACGAUUGGAGAUAUUGAAGUCUGCAUCAGAUGUGUUCCACCAUUCACUAUUUAGUAUUGCAUUUGCUUCCAUUUGAAGUUGAGAUGUCACUAUGACAAAUUGAGUCCCCAUGAACAAACCCCAAGUAAGAAGAAAAAUCUUCCACAUUUUUGGACUAUAGAUAUUAGAACAAAAAUAUUUUGUCAAGUUCAUUUUUUGAGAUUGAAUGAAUUGCAUGCAAUUUUCUAAGAAGCAUCAAAAACCUUUAUACUCGUUAGACACUCCCAUUCUCAUAGACCAAUUCAAUAUGAUUUAAUGCUUUGGAUAAUUAAUUGCCUAUGCAUAUGUCACAAUAUUUUUUUUUUUUUGGAUUAGCACAUGUCACAACGUUGGAUAAGUCUAAUGUAAACGUGAAUAUAUUUUUUUUUUAAAGUAUCAACCAUAGGUGACAGGACUAAUUUUCCAAUCUCUCUAUAUAGUUGUAUCGUUUUUUUCUUCUUCUUUCAAUCUUUAUAUACAAUGUCUCUACCAAUUCAGCUAAGCUCACAAAGACAUAGUCAUAUUGGAUUUGACAUGGCAAAUAGAGAGUUUGGUUAUGAGAAAAAUAAAAUCUGAUUAAGUUUUAUUUUUGACAAAAAGUCUGAUUAAAUAUUGUAUAGCUAAAGAUCAAAUUUGAAAUACAUCCCAAAGUAUUCCCUCUUAACUAAAAUUUAUUAACAUUUUGAGUUAACUAAUUUUAUAUUCAUUAUUUUAAUAUUUUUGUAUCAUAGGCUUUUGUAACUAUAUCUCCUUCGUCUCAUUUUUUGCAAAAAGAAAAACUAUUUCAAAAUGUCAUUUUUAAUGUAAUAUUAGUUAUUUUUUAAUCAUACUCAAUCUUAUUAAUAAUAUCUGUGCAUCACUUCUAUUAAUGGAUUUCACUGUGCAUCUAUCUCCUACUUUUUUUGGUAGUUAUCUUCCACAUUUUUUUUGGGUGAUAUAGUUAUCUUCCACUUGAUCAAGUUAAUUUGAGCAAUAAAAAAAAAUUGUUGUCAUUUACGUGUUUUCUUUAAUUACUUGUGUUGAAUAACUGAAAAAUGGCACUAACAAUAAAAUAAAAUAAAAAAGAGUAGUAUACAACCAACUUUUCUAUGUUCAUCCAUUUAUGUUAGGACUUAAGCCCACGAAGAGAGCUCAACUCAAAAGACUAGUCCUAUAGGUGGGAGAACCUCAUAACUUAAGUAUCACAUCAAGUACUUGAUCUACUCGACGUGGGACUCCUAACAUUGACACGCCCUUUAAGAGCCGGUGUCCACGGCGGCUUUCACUCUAUCGGCACUAACAUGAUGGUAGCCCUUUCCUUUUUGCGGCUUCAUUCACAUAUCAGUAUUCGGUGAAACACCUUAAUCCAACCUAUAAGUAGCCCUUUCCGUGGUCCAACUCUCAACGAAAGCACCAAUUGUUAGGACUUAAGUCAAUGAGGAGAGCCCAAUCCAAAAGACUAGUCCUAUAGAUGGGAGAACCUCAUGACUUAAGUACCACAUCAAGUACUUUGAUCUACUCGAUGUGAGACUCCUAACAAUUUAUCAUGUAAAAACUUUUCUUAUAAUUUUUUAGGGUUAGAAAUGGAACAUUUAAAAUAUUAUAAGUAAAGACUUUUCUUAUAAAAAAAAAAAAAAAAAUUCCUUCAAAUUCUUAUAAUAUUCUAAACAUUUUUGUAAAAAUUUAUUCAAAAAUAUAAAUGGUACAAAUGAUCUAACUUAAAAUUAGUGACAAAAAAUGAGGACGGAAAACUUUUUGAAGACUAAGUCGAAGAAAUUUUCUAAAGAAAUUAUAACUAAAAAACGGGAGGGUUAGCGAGGUUAUUGGUGUUUGUGUGGUGUGAUGGAGAAGCUACUUGUGUGAUGGUUGGGGGUUUUGUGGGAGGUGUGGUUUUUGCGUGGGGGUAUGGAUGGGGUAGGCGUGGAUAAUCUAGUUUCGGAUUUUGUGGCAGCUUGUGACGAUAUUUGAGGGAUUUGGUGCAACUUUUGUUUAUGUUGUUGUGCGGAGGGUUGUCUUGGAUUUUGGUGUUAGCUUUAUUUUUUGUGUUUCCUUUUAUUGAUUUCGAAGAUAGUCCUUAAUGUUAGGUGGUGUUUCAUGAGGGGAUCUUUAGAUUUUGUCUUUGAUGCACGGAUGUAUGUGUUUACAUUUGGGUGUUCCCCAUCUCUCAUUUGUAUUUUGCUAUUGACUCCUACCCUAGCACUUCUUGUGCUGGUCAGGAUUCAUUGUGAUUUUAAUAAAUUUCAUUUUUCCUUCUUAAAAAAAAAUUAAAUACUUAUAAAAAUCAAAAACAUACUUAAUCCAUAAAUUUAUCUCAAAGACUUAAUCUCAUUGUUUGUGUUUAUAUAUGUUUGGGUCUGUUGACUUGGUUAAAUUAUGAAAACUUUGUGUGCAAGUUAAGUUACGAAAAUGUGCAAGUUUUUCUUCGUCAACAGGUCUAUUUUAAUGUUUUUAAGUAUGUUUUAUGUAAGAUAUUUGACAAAUUCAAUGCAUUUUUUUUUUUGACGAGGAAUUCAAUACAACUUUAUAUGAUAGUGAAUAUUUUUUUUGAAGGAUGAUAGUGAAUAUUAUUUUCAUCAAAAAAUGAUAGUGAAUAUUUUUCUUUUAUAUUCUGCUUCAUCGGUACCUUAUUAUAGGCCUAUUUGAUCAAUUUCGUAUACAUUAAAAAAAAAUUGAUAUUAUAGUUAAUAUGUUUAUUUUGUGAGUAAAUAGUACUACUACUAAAUCACCAUUUGUUUAAAUGUGUAUUUCAUUUGACUUUGCAAAUUUUAAGUUAUUAGUAUUAAUUAGAGUUAUUUUUGGAAAAAUAAAUUAAUAAAUUCACUUAAUAAUUUGUAUUUGAACUUAUAUUUAAGGACAUGAUUUUUCUUCUUCUUAAUAAAUUCAUUUUUCUUUAACGAACUGAAGAAGUAUCCUUUUUUAGAUAAGCGAAAAUUAAUAUCCAAGUCCUUAUAAAGAGAUGGAGAGAUUAGACUUUUUUGAAUGUGGGUGGAAACAGACGGCUCAUUCGACAGGGGUCUACGUCCUACCUUAUUUAAAGUUUAGCUCGACUUAGUUCAUUUAAUAAAAAUGUCAGAUUAAAGCUUUUUAUAAAGUGUUUAGUAAAAAGGGCACAAGCUUUUUUUUGAAAGAAAGGUGUUUAUAACAUUUCAUUAAUUAUUAAAGAUUCAAUACAAUUGAGUAUAACAUAAUAAGUAACGGAAUUAGCUAAUAAUGUGGUCUCUCUUGCAAGAUUAUGAGCUACCACAUUUGCUUGUAGCCUAACGAACUCCAAGCGAGAGGCUCUAGUUUUUUAUAAAGCCUAUUUAAUUAAAUAUGUCAGACUAAGGCUUACAAAAAAGCCUAUUCCUGUCAGGCCGACCUAUUAACCUUUUUAUAUAUACUUUAUCUUCCAUUAUUGAUAUUGUUGAAGUUUUUUUUCCUCCAUAAACUCAAGUCUUCAUAUGAUUUGGUUCUUUAAUAGUAGAUAUAUUGAUGUUAUUAGACAUUUGUAAAAUUCCGUUAUUUAGUAGCAGACCUAUUCGUGUGCUUUUGACCUUCAUAAGUUUUGACAUAUUUAGUAAUAGAUUUACAUGUGUUGCUAGACCUUGGUGUAAAAUAUGCUUUUAAAUAGGCUUUCAGACCUUUAAAAAGGUCAGAUCAAGCCUUAAAAAUGAGUCUAUGACGGAUAAUAGGCUAGACUCAUGCCUCUAAUUUUUAAAGUAGGUCAGGCUUAAACUUUACAAACCCGGCCCGACCUAGCCCAUUUCCAUCGCUACGUGUAACCUUCCGCUAAGUCCACUGUCCAUAUCUAACUCUAAUUCUUCUUAUAGUGCAAGUCCACCCGACCCGACCUAGCCAACCAUGAUGACGAACAAUGCACAUUUUUACAAUUUUUUGCACCAUAAUGAGUAACAAAUUCUGCCACCAAUAAUAAAAUGGAAAAUGCUUUAUGGCACGACAAGUUUUGUCGCACCAAUUGCAUGAAUUCCUCAAAUCUCAAUUUUCUCUCUUUUUAACGUAUAUUUCCAGCCAUAUCUCUCUUUCCUAUUCUCCAUUUAGUUUAACUUAUCACUUCAACGUUUUUGUUUUGUAUGAUAUGGCAUACAAGGUACACCCUCAUGGUGUGGCUUUGUUGAAUUACACUACAAUAUUUCCAAAGGAUGUUUUGUGGCAGAAUCACCGCUCCAAACUAUUGGUGGAGAAUAUUGUGGUAAAUCAUUACAAAGGCAAUGCAAUUCAUAUUGUGAAAUAAUUAAGUUUAUAUAUAUGUUUUUGCUAGAAGACACAUUUUAUGAAAGUGUCUUUUAGCAAGUUAUUCUAUGAUCAUUUGUUAAAAGACACCAACUAAUUUUUAUUAAGGUGUUUUUUAGCAAAAUUAUAACUAAAAAUUGAAAAUGACAUCUUGAGGUGUGGGUUGCUAAAAGACACCUUCAUGGGUGACUUCUAUCAAAACUCUAUAUAUAUAUAUAUAUAUUGGUCAAGUAGCCUAGUAGCUAGAGAAAUUCACCUUUAAAAUGAAUAAGUGGGAUGUCCGGGGUUCGAACCCCGGCCUCUGCACAAAUUGUGCAUUAUCCUUUACCAAAUGAGUUAAACUCGUGGGGACAAUUUAUAUAUUAUUUUACUUGAGGUAGAAAACAAUAUUUUAUCUUACUUGUGUCAAAAAAUUGCUAAAGAUCUUGAGGCAUGAUAUAUACAUUGGCGUGCAAAUGGUACGACAAAGAUGUCGUACCAUAUAGCACUACUCUAAUAAAAUUUACAUUAUAUUUUUAUCAAAGAAAAAUUACUCCAUAAGGAGUACAUUAUAAUAUUGUGAUCAUAUAUUCAUUUCUAAUAAUACUUUUAUGCAAAUUUCAAACCCAUAAAAAAUAUCAUAACGAAAAUUUAAAAUUAACUAAAAAUAAUAAUAAAACUAAAAUUAAUUAAAUAUUAUCAAUUCAACUCGGGUUGAACCCCGAUCUAACCUUCAACCUUUAUUUCAUUGAUUCAAUCAAUGUCGGACCUAAUUUUGAUUACCUUACAAAAACUUGGUUUUUUUUUUUGACAAAUAAAAAAAAAACUUGGUUUCUUUUUUGAGCAAUGCUAUAUAUCAAGAAAGAUUUUAUCAAGAAAAUUUUAAGAAUGACAUGACAGAAUAAUCACCCUUAAAUUUUAUCAAGAAAUAGUCUUGAAAUUAAUGUUAGCCAAUAAAAUCUCAGCUUGGCCGGAAAUCAUGGGGUGGUGGGUGUUAUGUAUUUUUUUUUAUGAAAGAUUAAUAAAUGAGACUGAAAUCUAAAGGUGAUUAUUGUGCCAUGUCAUUCUUGGAUAUUUCUUAUAAAAUCAUUCUUGAUAUCUAGCAUUUUCCUUCUUUUUUUUGGUAGUGAAAAACUUUUUUUUUUUUUUUUUAUAAGAAGAAGCUUAUUGCAUUUCAUUCAAAAUAAUAGUAGAGAUACAAGAUGGAAUCCUAAUACGAAUAUGGAAACUAGCAUGACGCAAAGCCACUCUAGCAAAGCUAUGAGCAACUUCGUUGGCUUGUCUCCGAAUGAACCUAACAUCAGAGGUUACUAAAUCAGAAGCUAACAGACAUCUACAAUCAUUAAUAACUGCGCUAAAAUUAGAGACGCCACUAUUACUACCAUAAAGACUGUCUACCACAAUUUUGGAGUCGAGCUCAAAGUCCACAAUACCUAGUUGCAGAUCACGAACCCAGUGCAUUGCUGAUAACAAACCCAAAGCCUCACCCAAAUCGACAUCAAGGAGCGGAGUCAUCCAUUCAGUCUUGGCUAAAACAAAACGACCUUCUUCAUCUCGAAUACAAACACCAAUACCAACCCGAUUCCGAGCUUGAGAAAAGGACGCAUCAACAUUACAAGUAAACCUACCGGGACUUGGUUUAAUCCACUUCAAAUCAUUCGGGGUGGAAGGAUUUUGAGGGCUAGGAUGCCGAAUAUUCUGAGCAUUCCUCCAGCUAGUAAGAAGAGAACCUGCACGAGCACAAAUAUCUUGAGCUGUAUCAGUGAUGUUGUUCCAUACCUUAUUGUUUCGAUGCUUCCAAAUACUCCAAAGGGUCACACUGAAGAUUUGCUUUUGCUGCUGAUCCAGGUGUUGUAGGAUAGCAAACACAUUGGUUGGAAAACUGACAUUAAUAUCAAAGACAGCCAUCAAAGGGCUCCAUAAGCCAAUACGUUGCCAACAAAGCAUACUUUUACUACACAUAAAGAACAAAUGGUUGCUAUCCUCUCCGAAAUCAUCACACACUGCACACCUGUCAGUACACUGAACUCCUUUAGAUUGCAAACGAAUUCUCGUGGGCAAGCAAUUGCGGCAAGCUCGCCAAAGAAAAUUCUUAACUUUCGGGGGCAGUUUUAAACUCCAGAUACAAUUCCAAUUACCCAGUACACGGUGUUGAACAAUUGCCAUAUCAUGAUUCAGAAUAUCUUUAUAAGCACUUUUAACUGAAUAAUUACCAUCCCUUUCAAAAUUCCAAACAGGCAUAUCAUGAGUUACUGAAGGAAGCAACGGAGUGUUAAAAAUGUUUAUGGCAGUACUAGAGUCAAAGAAAGUAUUAAUGAGCUCCAUAUUCCACUGUUUCUGGGGUGUAAUCAACAAGUCAGAAACAGUGAUGGAAGGCCACUCCAAUUGAUGAUGAGUUGAAGGUAAAAUUCGUGCAACAUUACUGAUCCAGGGAUGAUCUCAAACUGGUAUGUGUUCACCUGUACCUAUACUCCACUGAAAACCACGCCGAAUCACAUCUUUAGCACUCCAAAUACUACGCCAAACAUAACUAGGAUUAUGGCCAAUGCUUGCUCCAAAAUAGUCACUUCGAGGAAAAUAUUUAGCUUUGAGUAAACGAGUGAUUAGAGACUCUGGAGAAGAAACCAACUUCCAAGCCUGCUUACCAACCAUAGCCAUAUUAAAGGCCUUAAGGCCCUUAACUCCCAUACCUCCAUAUACCUUUGGAACUGAAAGCCGCUCCCAAGAUAGCCAGUGUAAUCCUCGAGAAUUUGCUGAAUUAUGACCCCACCAGAAGGAAUUUAACAUUUUUUCUAUCUCAUUUAUGAGGGAACCCGGAAGAAGGAAAAUACUCAUCACAUAGGAAGGAAUAGAUUGCAAAACAGACUUAAUGAGAACCUCCCUACCAGCCUGCGAGAGACAUCUACUACUCCAUGAGUUUAUUUUACUCCAGAUGCGAUCCUUAAUAAAUUUAAAAGUUGCAUGUUUGCUGCGGCCAAUCAUAGAAGGUAGACCAAGAUAUUUACCUAUACCCAACACUUGACGAACACCGAAAGUAGUAGCAAUGAGAUUCUUCAAAUCAUCUGGAGUAUUGCGGCUACAAAAUAAUUCAGACUUUUGGAGAUUAAUGGUUUGCCCCGAAGCUUCUUCAUAAGUAGUCAAAAUAUUUUUCAUACAGACAGCCUCACUCUCACAGGCUCUAAAGAAGAGAAAACAAUCGUCUGCUAAGAGAAGGUGAGAAACAACUGGUGCAUUUGUGCAAAUCGAAGUACCUCUAAUAUUAUUGCAACGUUCGGCUUCACGAAUAAGGGAAGAGAGACCUUCAGCAUAAAUGAUAAAUAAAUAAGGUGAGAGAGGAUCCCCUUGACGGAGUCCGCGUCCUUGCACAAUAGGACCCAUUGAUGCUCCAUUAACCAAUACUGAGUAAUCAACCGUCUCAACACAAAGCAUAAUCCAACUAACCCAUCGAGAUGAAAAACCCAUUUGAAUCAUGAUUUCUCGUAGGUAAUCCCAAUCUAAUCUGUCAUAUGCUUUACUAAUGUCCAACUUAAGUGCAACAUCUUCACUCUUACCUUUUGCCUUAGCCUUCAUAUAGUGAACAAUUUCAAUAGCCACCAUUGCAUUGUCUAAGAUAGAUCGACCUGGUACAAAAGCUGACUGAUUAAUAGAGAUACAUUUAUCUAGUACCUGUUUGAGCCUGUUAGCAAGCACUUUGGCUACUAUUUUGUAUACAACAUUGCAGAGAGCAAUAGGUCGCCAAUCCUUCAUUGAAUUUUGAUAAUCACCUUUAGGAAUAAGAGUAAUAUUAGUAGAAUUGACAUGUGGUGGGAAAGCACCACUAGCUAGCCAAUGACAACCUGCCUGAUAGACUUCAUGACCACAAGUAUCCCAAAAAUGUUGAUAGAAACCUGGAUUAAAACCAUCUGGACCUGGACAUUUAUCUGCUUGCAUGGAGAAAGCCGCCUGUUUGAAUUCUUCUAAGGUGAAAUUCGCAGUCAACAUAUCAUUAUCAUCUUCGGUGAUUGAAGUUGGAACCAAAUUAAUUACACUUGCACGCGAGCUUGGUGAUUUUUUAAAGAGAUGCAUGAAAUAAUCACUUGCAAUUUGCUUCAGACCAUCUUCAGUUCGACAUUCAAUACCAUUUUCAUCCUCAAGAUGCUCAAUUCUAUUCAACUUUCUUCUGGUGCUUGCUGCCGCAUUAAAAAACUUCGUAUUAAGAUCCCCAUCACGAUACCAAAAUGUCUUAGCAUGUUGUUUCCAAAACAUAUCAUCUUUGAUCAACAAUUUAUCUAAUCUCUGUCUUAACAUAUUGAAAUAAUUCACAUUAGAGGCAUCCACAUGUGAACGGAUAGUUUCAAGCUUACGUUGAGUCUUGCGAAUCUCUUGUCUGGUGUUUUGGUUAGUAUUCAUACUCCAUUUAGAUAGAUCCACAUCACAUUGAUUAAGUUUAUUCACAAGAGGACGAUCACCAUAACCUUGCCAUCUUUGAGAAACAAAAGGCCCGAACUCGGGUUCAACAAGCCACACAUUCUCAAAGCGAAAGCGACGUUGACCGGAACUAGGCGCAGGCUGCGGAGCACAAUCCAACAAAAGAGGGUAAUGAUCAGAUGAUGUGGUAGUAAGACAUUCAAGCUUAGCGUUCUGAAACUUAUCAAACCAACUAUUAUUAGCCAUAGCUCUAUCCAAUUUCUCCUCCACAGCGCGGACAGUUCCAAGACUUUUGAACCAUGUGAAAGCAUAACCAUCCAUAUGAAUAUCAGCAAGCCUAUCAUCCAAAACAGCUUGCCGGAAACCUUGAAUAAGCCAUGGUUGACGAUCAGACCUUCCUUUCUUUUCAUCAGUUGAUAGAAUAUCAUUAAAAUCACCAAUAAUACACCAAGGAAGUGGAGACAUAUUUGAUAAAUGUCGAAGUAAGUUCCAAGACUCUCUUCUCCUCCCUCCUUCUGGCAUACCAUAGAAUCCAGUUAACCUCCAUCUUCCCCUAAUAGAGUCAUUUACCUCCAUAUCAAUAUGAUUCUGGGAGAAAUUUGUGAUAGUACAAUUAAAGUUCUUAUUCCAUAAACAAGCCAAACCACCUCCCCUACCAAUACGGUCAACAGAAAAACAGUAAUCGAAAGCCAACAUAUAUUUCAAUUCUUCAAUUUUAUUAGACGUUGUCAUUGUUUCAUACAUGAUUAUUGCAUCCGGUUUAUAGGUCCUGACUAGGUACUUUAAAUUAGGAACUGUGCUCGGGCUACCUAAACCCCGACAGUUCCACCAUAUAAGACUCAUUUACCUUGGCGGGCAUGGUGUCCAGGUCCCGCCAUUACAUUAUUAAUCCCACCUAGUCCCCUAUCCCUCAUGUUAACAUCCUUGCUAGCCGUAUCUUGACCACCAUCAUAUUCAUUAGAGCCUUUCGUCGCAACACCUUCCUUAGUCUUCUCCACAGUGUCCUCGCGAUCUUCCAUGCGAAGCCUUUUGAGUUGCUUAGGUCCUUCGGAGGCAAUCUUAAUUGUACCAUUAUCACUAACUUUCGGUUUAGGCAUUGACGCUGUUAAUUGUGAUAUAGGAGGCUGGGCAACGACAUUAAAACCGAACGGAGCACUUUCAAUUGAGAGAGGAUUCUUGAGCCUAGCUUCUUGAACCAAUCGGGCGAUGCGUUCCUCAUCUGGUAGUGAAAAACUUAAAACUGGGUUUCUUUAACAUGCGAAAUAAGGACACAUGUUAACAAUAUUAUUAUUAUUUUUGAAUAAACUUGUUUAUAGAUUUAUAAAAGCACUUACUCAAUAAAAUUAAAUUCUAUUAACCAAAAAUAAAAUAAAAUUCAUAAUAAAGUUGCAUAUAUUCUCAUAUUUUCUUUUGUCAAAUCACAAUCGUCGUUUUAUCUUCAUACACCGUGUCGUUUAACACCUCUGGUAAUAGCAUUCCACCCGAAAGCAGCUUUUACACAGUAUCAAUAAAAAACGAUAGAGAAACAUAUAAACCCCGUUUCAACGACCAAACGCGCGUUUCAAAUAAUCUAACCCCAAACGCUCGCGCUUGAUAAUCCAUUUUCCCCCUUCUUUUAAUCGAAAAUAAAAGGUGAAGAAAUCAAACAAUCCUUUCACUUUCGAUUACCGAAUCAAAUUCAGAAUCGCUUAAACAAUGACGACGGAAGAUAACAGCGUUAGGGUUUCUUCUUCCAAUGAAGCAUCUGCGACAAACGAAGUUUCACAAACAAGACAGAGGUAACUCACGUCAUUGAAAAUUUGAAAUUUGUUUAAUUUUUGUCUUUUAUUCGUUAAUUAUGUGAAAUUAGUUGGAUUACUGUGUUGAUUGAUUUCACCGUGGAUUUGUCUUUUUUACUGAAUUGGAAUUAUUUGAAUAGCUUAGUGUGAAUGUUUUCACUUUUCAAAUAUUAAAAAGCUGGAUUAGUCUCUGAAAGUUUUGGUAUCACGGUGGGUUUACCGAAAUCACGAUUACGCGGUGAUUUUUUUACCUCCAAAGUGUAGCUUUUGCAAGAGGGUCAUGGUAACUAGUGCCCUGAGACACUUGUUAAGGGAAAAAAAGAGUAAAUUUUGCAUUGAAAAGACGGUUGACUACACUAGUUUUAAGAUAAUUUUAUUACUCCCUCCGAUCACUAUUAUAAGCAAAAAACUACUUUUUAGGUUCAUUGAAUGAGUGAUGUAAUUGACCAUUAAUAUAGUCCACAUACAUCAUUUAUUCAAUGAACCUAAAAAGUAGUUUUUUGCUUAUAAUAGUGACCGGGGAGUAUAUUAGUUCAUUUGCCAAAUUACGGUGGCUCAUGCAAAUUUGUCAAACUCACCUCGGAAGCAAACAUUUAUCUAUUGGUGAAACAGGUGUUUAGGGUUUGGGAAAAACUUUAAUAGAUGUUUUCGAAAAUGUAUAUUUUGUAGGAUUGACCACAUUUUUAAUAAAUCAUAGAUGUUUUCGAAAGUGUAUAUUUUGUCCGGAAGUAUGCAAUACUCUUCCGAACUGAAAGUGAUAUUGGGGUGUGGAAAGUUCCUCCCAUAGGGUUAAUGCUAAAACGACAACACACUUGGUGCAUUAUAUUUUAGGUUAUGUCUGUAUGGAUUGACUUAUUUGAGUUUAUCUGCUAACACAAGUUUUGUCUGACCGUUUUUCAGCCUAUUUUCAUAAGUUCUCCAGCGUAGCUUAUGAAAAUAGCUUAUAACUUGCAUAACAAUUUAAAUUUAUUUUAUCUUUUGCUAUAGAAAUAACUUAUACAUCAGUGCCUGAGCUUUUAAGUUGCAAAUAAGUUUUUAUCCAAAUAGUGCUUCGCAUAACUGUAAGGGAGUUCUCCAAGAUAUUCCCAAAAGUGUACUUUUGGACGGCAUUUUAUCUGGAAGUAUGUUUAAAAUCCUCGUUUUUUCUCGAUGUGUAAAUUUGAAGUGAUGUUGGGGCGUGGAAAGUUUCUCCCUUAGGUUAUGCGAAAACGGAAACCACUUAGGGUCUGUUUGGAUUAGUUUAUUUGAGGUUAUCUACUGCCAUAAGUACUUGCGACAUUUUUAUUUUAUUUGAAGAAGCUAAAUUAGCCCACCCAAAUUGGCACCGGCUGAGACCUUGAGGAGGAGCACACUCGAAGGUCCCAAGUCAACACCACCAUGCCAACCCAAAUAAGUACUUGCGACAUUGUUUGGGAUAACUUAUGAAACAACUUCAGACAUUUUCAUAAGUUGAUUUCAUGUUAUUUCCAUAAACUCUCCAGGAUAGCUUAUGAAAAUAGCUUAUAUAUUAUACAAAAAACUCAAUAAAUUCUUAUGCUAUAAGCUGCAAAGUCAACUGCAAAUUAAAUUGUUAAUCCAAACAGGGCCUCAGUGCAUUAGAUUUUAGGGGGUCACAUUGAUAGAAUGAAAAUACUAAAGAAAAUUUAUUCGAUUGUAUUUGAUACUAUGUUUUGUGAAUUUUUUAUUGAGUGUUCUGAUUUUUUUGUAGAAAGAAGAGAAAGUGGGAUCAACCAGCAGAGUCAUUGGUAUCAGUUGGGAUGGCAGUACCCGGAGUUCUUCCUUUGAGCAAUGCUAUGCCUCUUGGUGGGGUUGCAUUUCCAGGUGUGACACCAGUGAUAUCCAGCGCUCUUUUGACUAAUCCAUUGGCUGCUGCAGCCCUGCUUCAGCAGCAAAGCACGGCGGCGGCCCAAAAAUUGAAUCAAGUGAGCUGUCUAAUCCCUUGCAAUGUUUGACGUGUUUGCCGAUGCUCUUUCUUGAUUAUAUUGCCGUAUCAUUCUUUUAUUGUUUUAGUUUGUGGGAAAACAAGUGUGGUAUUGUUCGAUGAAAGUGUGGUAUUUUUUUGAUGAAAUUUCAUCUAAGGAUUUUGAACUUGGUGCUUGAAUGAUAUGAGAAUUAUAAGGGGGUUGUGAACUUGGUGCUUGAACUGUGUCCUCUAUUGAAGCGCUAGUAAUACUCUUGGAAGUUUAUUUACACCGCAAUGAAUUCAUGAUAUUUUUUUAAAUGAAAAAUGCAAUGGAAUCGUGACAUUGAAAAUUGAAAUUAUAUAUAAUUACUAAAUUUAGUUUUGCAGUUCGACACUUUAAUGAUUAUCAUUCAGCUUCUUAUGCUCUGUAAUUUUGCCUUUUAAAGCACACUCUUUUAAGAUUUGUGAUAUUGAAUACUAGCUUCGUCCAUGUAUGCUUCUCAGACCCAUCACUUGCAAAGUCUGCAGAAUAUGCUUUCGGGUGGCCUAAAAUCAUUGACUUCAUAUUUUGUGCAUUUGCAAUUAAUAAACUGUCUUUAAUUUUUUAUUUCAUUUAUACAAGAGUAUUUUGGCAAAAUUGUGUUCUCUGUUAUUCCAAAUAUUCCUUUCCUUCUAAUUUUCAUAGAAUAAUUGUGUCAGGGUAGAUUGAUGCUAGCAACAUAUUUACUUAAUAAGUGUUUAUGUGUGUGGAGAUUUUGCUGAAGCCUUUGAUUCUCCCUGAAGUUUUUGCGUUAUUUUAUUAUAGAUUUCUUUUGUAAAUUUUAAAUAUUUUUUUAUCUUAUUGUGGGAUAAAUUUUCAUGUAGCAAAAGAUCCAAGAUGAGUUGGUAAUUGCUCGAGAAAUCGUCAUAAAUGAUGCAGAAUCUUCUCUUCGCUACAAGUUGACAAGACGCCAGACACAAGAGGAGGUGACCUGGAUAAGAUAAUUUUACUCCCUUUUAACCCCAAAGCUUCUCUUUAAUUUUUAUCUAAACGAUCAGUUUUCCUCUUCUUGCAGAUCCAGAGGUGCACUGGUACUAUAGUUAUAACUAGGUUUGUAGUUCGUUCAAAGCAUUUCUAAAGUCCUUUUAAGUUUUUACUAUACUGCUGGAAGUAAUGUCUAUGCUGGUUGCUUUUGCAGGGGUAAGUAUCGACCUCCCAAUUCGCCGCUCGAUGGAGAAAAGCCGUUGUAUCUCCACAUCUCUGCAGGAGCUCAUGUAAAUGCUGAUACUUGGUUUUUAUUUUUUUUAUUUUUUUAUAUAUAUAGAACAAUGAUUGGGUUAAAUAAUCAGAUUUAAUCGGACAUUUUUGUCCAAUCCUUUAUUUCAUAUGAAAGUAACAUUUAUUACUUAAAAUGAUGUGGUCAGAACUCAUAUAUAGAUUGGAAAGGAAAUGUCACUUGAAAGAGAUUAUUUAAUUGAAUUUAUUUGCAACAAAUUGGCUUCUUAUUCAUGAAAGGAGAUUCAUAUUGCUUUUUUGUAUGUCAUGACACAAUAAUUGAUGGCUCAUGGCUGUGUUACAUGAGAAUGAAUUACGUAAUUUAGUUUGCUUCUAGUGACAUCACAUUAUGUUGCAGAUAAAAGAUACGGCGGAACGGAUUUUAGUUGUUGAUCGUGCUGCUGCAAUGAUUGAAGAAAUGCUAAGGCAGGGGCAAAAUUCGCAGUCAAUUUCUUCUGCUUUACCUUCAGCUUUGGCUAAUGGAGUGAAGGUAGAAAUUCAUUCAUUACUAGCUCAUAUACAAUGUGAUGUGAUGUAUUGAUAACUAAAAUGUAUUAAUGAAUCAGGUAUUGAGCACAUGUGUGUUUUUGGGAUUUGAUGCUGACCCAUCAUGGAACAUUGUUGCUCGUAUACGUGGACCAAAUGUGAGUCCUUCCCUAACUAAUUGAUUUGUCUAGUACUCUUGUGCUUUAUGUUUGUGCAUGAAUAUAAGUGGAGAGUCUGCCACAACUAUUUUCAGAGAGGACUGUUUGAAGUUUCUCCUCUGUAAUCUGUUCAUAUAUUGACUUUUUGAGUCUCAUGUAAUGGACAUGUUAUGAUUCACAAUUAUAUCAUAUAUUGAUUUGCUGUUUUGUUUUUAUUUCUUACAUUUUUACUAUUCUAUCUUUUUGCUCACUGGGAGUAGGUGUGUAUUUGUUUUAAACUUCUAUUUGAUUGCGUGGAAAUACUUUGCUAUAGCUUAGGUUAUUGAUUACCAAGGUGUUGAUUAGGCAAGAAAAAAGGGAGGAUGUCUGGGGAAAUUGAAGACUGUUGUAGUUGGCAAAGUGUUCUUUUUAUGGGUUGGGAUCCUCUCAAUUUUCUAAAUAAAAUGGAAAUGUCAAUUACUAUAUUUUUUUACUAAAUAAAUAAUAUAAAUGUAAACAUUUCUAAAAUUGGAGACAUUAAUUGAACAUUUAUACACGGAAACUGAGAAUGGAACAAAUGGAAUAAAAAAUGGAGAGCAUCUUAAUUCUUGACUGGGAUCCUCUCCAUUUCCUAAAAGAAAUUGAAAUGUCAAUAACUAACUCAGUAACUUUCUUAGGUGUGGGCUUCUUCAAAAGAAAAAAACUCUCUUAGGUGUGGGGUUAGGCCUGUAUAUAUAUACAAACUAACAAACAAGAACAGAGGUAACUCGCCAAGUAACUACAAAUUAGAGAUUAAAUUUACACAGAUAAUUACGGGUAGAGACUGAACAUUCGGUUGUUUGCUCAUCAAUACGUAAAACUAGAUUUGCCUAAGAAAAUAUCGGGAGUUAUACUAAUUAAUUGCCUCAUCUAACAGCAUAAGUCUGACCUGACUUAUUUAUUUAUUUAUUGGAUUGGAUACCUUGCAUCAUUAUUGGUGGAUAAUUAUUUAUUUUAAUAUAUUUUAUGAUGCUUAAAAUUGUGUAUUUGUAAAUAAUCUAAUGUUUCAAGCCUCCUCUGACGUCUCCGUACAAUUUGGAGAAUUUUUUUGGGGUUGGUGGUCGUUUGGAUUUGAACGUGCAGGACCAGUAUAUAAAUCACAUUAUGAAUGAAACAGGAGCAACAGUAAUACUUAGAGGACGUGGUUCCGGAAACGAUGAAGGCUCAAAUGGAGAAGGUACUUUCUUCAUUUGUGGGAUUCAAACUUUUGAAGGGAAUUAUAUUUCAGUAUAGAUUACUUUCGUGAUAUUCGCUUUUCAGUUUGAUUUGUUUUCGGUUUUAGAUGGACAGCAACCUAUGCACCUGUUUUUGUCUAGUAACAAUGCAAAAAGCCUUGAAGAUGCUAAGUUCUUGGCGGAAAAUCUUUUGGAUACAAUCAGUAUGGAAUGUGGUGCUUCGAGGUAUUCAAUUUUAUAUUGUCAUAUGAUAUAGGAUGUGAGCCAGGUUUUUUUCUUAAGAGUAGAAAAUUUAGGGAAUACUCUGUUUUUCUCAAAUAUUAGCUCUUACCAUAUAGAAACAAAUCUUUAUUUAGAAAAUACAAAUUUUUAUUAUUUGAUAUUUCAUGGAACACGGCAACCUACCUUUUGAUUAUUUCCUAUGCUGAUGUCAACAUGACAACAAUCCUUUUUCACUAUGGAAUAAUUAAUAUCACACGUAUUUUGAAGUGAAUUUGGAACAUUCUUCGGUACAUUUCUGGAAACUGGGGCUAAACAUUAAUUUUCCCGAUACACAUCCUAGAAAAACAUGUAUCCUCUCAGUGUGAUAGACAGUAGGUUUGACUAGAAAGAUGUGAUAUUUUUGGUAGCUAGGUGACCGGUGAUCAGACUGAGAAAUUCUCACCUCCGAAACAUUCGCUGCUUUAAACUCCCUCUUUUCUCUUUAAAAAAAAAUUGGGGAAGGGGAAAUUAUUUGUUGGAAAUUCCGCCUUCAUUGCGGUCCACCCCUAGCCGCCUAAUUGCAACAUUUGGGUUGCCUUCAUUGCAGCCUUCAACACCUUCAUCGUGUUGGGUUUGAGGGGGUGGAUUUUUUCCCACGGUGCUUGGAGAUAUGGUGUGUGUAGUACUGUAAUGUUUAUAAAGCUUGGACAACCCUCACCUUACAAGCCGGUUUUGUAAGGAUUAGUUGAGCCCAACUCAAAUUUUAAGAUUAUUAUUAAUAACGAUGACACUAAUGACCAUUUUACGGUAGUCCGUGAUGGGAUUUGAACCAUGCCCUUUGAGGUUAACAAGUCAAACUCUUAACACUAAAAUGACACCUAUUGCACAAAAGUAGAAAAUGAAUAUUCUGGGCUUUGUCUAAGUCCUUACUUUGAAGGGCCUCAUAAUUAUUGCUAGCCUUCAAAGUAAGGGCUUCAUAAAAAUUAUUUCGAUGAAGGGCCUCCCUUGCACUCACUUCACAACAUCUCAUUAGAUAAUGUAAGCCUUUCAAAUUGUGAGGCUGAUACCCAACAGCUUCUCCCCUGCACUCAAAUCACAUGAAGGGCCUCAUAAAAAUUAUUUGCAUGAAUGUAUGUUGCCUUUGUUGUUGCUUCUAUCUCAGGGACACACUUAUACUAUCCUGCUAUUAAUACUUGUUAUUUUAGUUUAAAAUUUAGGCACAUUUCUGUUGCAGAUAGGUUCUUUCACAUGGUCAUUGUACGGUAAUUGGGAAAUUUGAAACUCCUGGACUUUGUUGGUUGAUUUAAGUAUUAAAUUUGGUACUUGUGUGGUUUGCAUUCAAUUUUAAUUUUAUGGAACUAAGGUUGGGUUUGAUAUGGUAGUGUGUGGGUAGGAUGGGAUUCCCACAAAUGGAAGUAGAGGUCUGGUAAAUCUGAUUGGCAAUCAUCUUUUUCCAUUGCAAUUCUUGAAACUAUGUUAUUUGGUUAUUUUUAUUGUUGGGAACAUGUUAAAUUUCUUCUAAGUUAUAGGAAUAACUUUUGAUUUAACUGUCAUAGGAUUUCAUCAUGUAAAGUUUAUAGUGCUGUUCCACCUCCACAGCCGGUAUAUACUGCUGUUCCACCUCCACAGCAGGUAUAUACUGCUGUUCCAUCACCCCAGCAGGUUUAUAGUGGCCCUUCAUUGUCAAAGCAGAUUUCUACUGCCAUUUCACCCGUACAACAAGGUUACAGUGCUGUUCCACCCCCACAGCAGUUGUUGGCUGGAGUUCAGUGUUCGGAGGCAAGCACAGACGUAACCACUACUUCAAUGUCAUUGACUGCAGUUUCGACACCAGUUCCUACAGCAAACAUGAUUGGUUAUGCUCCUCCUUUAGUAUCAGGUGGAACUAGCUAUAUUGGAUAUGGUGGAAUAUAUCCUCAAGCUACCCCAUUGCAACAAGUUGCUCUUGCCUUGAGGCACUCACCUCCUGUUGCUUCAACAGUUGCUCCCGCAACAUCGGCACCAAACAGAGAGUCCAAGUCUACCACAAACUCUAAUCAUGAAAAAGAGGAUAAACGGACAGCUCAGAGGCGAAAAUUUCAAGAACAGCCAGUUGUUUCAAAGGGCGCAAAACACAAUCAGGUCAUUGCAUUGCCAUUGAUAAAAUCUUUUAAUAUAUCAUUUUGCAUGAUGCAGGGGGGAUAUCAUUGAAUCUCUUGAUAACUAGUUAGGUUGCAGCAAAUAAAAGCCUUGGUUUAUGGGAAGUCUGGUUUAAUCUCUUUGCAUUCAGAUAUACUGUUAAUUGGAUGUGCAAAUUUGAAUAUAUUAAAAAGCAUCAAAGCAAUAAUUAUCUGACGUUAGGGCUGUAAACGAGGAGCACUGGGGAAUUGGGAAAUGAACCGGGGAAAUUAAACCACCAACUAAUUACUUAAAACACCCUCUCAUAUUGGAUCCUAACAAAUUCUGACGAGAACAAAUGAAAGAAUCAUUAUUUGAAAAGAAAAGAUUGACAAACCAAGGCUGAUAACUCCCUUCUGAAGGGACAACUCCCUCACAACCAACUUGGUUAGUAUACAACAUGAACACAUUCAUUACAAACUUUCCUUCCCUUUCAUAUUUUUACAGACUUCAGAGUUUUCAAUAGCAAUGUAGGUAAAGAAUUUUUACGAUCCACAUUGCUAUUGAAUAGAUUAGAUUAUUCAUUAUUACUUUAUUUGAACGUAGUUAUCUUUAUUUUUUAUUUUUGCUUUUAAAAUGAAAGGUAACGAAGUAAAUAGUAGCAAAAUAUCAAAUGCUUCCGAAAGGGAAGUCAAAUGCCUAAGUAUAUGUAGCAGAUCUGCUAUAAGCUAAUCCCUCAAAUGACUGAUUUGACAAAAACUUCCUUUUUUCCAUAAUAGAAGCAAUUAUUUUUACCCUUUUAUUAUUCCUAUUUGUCCCGGUUCUCCUUAUCUUCUGAUCACAGCCUUGGGUGUGGUUCUCCAUACUUACCUGAUGUAUUUUCACUUUCCACUGUAUGUUUGGGUGAAAUUGCCAUUUGACAAAUAAAUUAAAGGCUAAAAUAUGGUUUUGGUCCCUGCAAAUAUGCCUCGUUUUGGUUUUAGUCCCUGUAAAAAAAAUUUGUUGUUUUUGGUCCCUGCAAAAUCAAAAGAUUUUACAGGGACUAUUUUUCUAAUAAAUGAGUUCAGUCAUCAUGUGCCACGUGUGCAAAUCAUUACAAAAGUGGAGUCAGGGACCAAAACCAAAAUGAGGCAUAUUUGCAGGGACCAAAAACAACAAAUUUUUUUUACAGGACUAAAACCAAAACGAGGCAUAUUUGCAGGGACCAAAACCAUAUUUUAGCCUAAAUUAAACUAAACCAGUUGUAGAUGGAUAUCAUGAGCAGAUAACCUCUUUUUUUUUUUCUUCCUGUUUUUAUUGCAUCUAGAACUAUCUUUGGAGUGUGGAUACAUUGACAUAUUAAACAGAACUUCAAAUUUUUUUCUAUUCUCAUUUAUAAUUUUUCUUUUAUAAAAACAAUAGUAUUACAAAACUUAUCUUGCAAAAGCUCUUAAUAUCUAACUCCGUUCUGGUCUAAACAUAUUAUCUUGUGCUGACUUUUGAUACUUAAUAUUCCAGGUAUUUUCUCUGACCUUCUAUGCUGACACUGGACCUGUCUGUUGGGCUGUUGGUUUAUGUUUGACAGGGUUUUCUGUUUUGGAAAGUUUGCUUGUGCACAGUAUACGCCCUUGCCAGUCCAAAUGUUUUAUGAUUUAUCUCUCCAUUGGUAAAGUUGUGGCAAGCUUGUGCUUUGCCCUCCAUUUUUGCAUACAUGGGCUCCAAAAGAAAAUAAAUACUAUAAUAAGAAAAUGAAUAAAAUUUAUACGUGAUUAAGAGUCACUAUUGAACAUCCAAUAUUUUUAAAACCAAGAUGAUGUCAGCCAUUUCCUAAGCAAAGCCAUCUUACUUAAAAUUUUGCAUCUCACUUUAACUAGUUGCCUCCACAAAAUCUUGUUAGACUAAUCCUACAUCCCGCGAUAUGAUUAGUUAAAAAUAGUUGUGUUCAUAAACUCAUCAUUCAUUAAAAAUAUCAAUUUUUUGAGUGCGACCCUUAAAGUUAACCCACCACUUGACAAAAAUCUCAGUUCUUUUUGCAAAACAUGUAUAUCUUGGUAUUUGGCAUCAAUGACUCAUUUGGCAUUGGCAUUGGCAUGAAAGCCCCCAAAAUAUUGGGAACAUUUGAGCUGCUAAUAUACAGUUAUGUUGCCAAUUAUACUAUUCGUUGACAUUUUUUUUUUUUAAGGAAUUCGUUGAUAUAUGUUAUCACAACAAAUUCCUAUUCGUGUUACGUUUCAAUUAUAUUAAUUAAUCAGCCACUUAAAACAGUUUUUGCGCGAAAAAUUUUCCAUUGACUGUUAUUAUCUGUGACAUUAAAUCAGGUUAUAGAAUGAUAGUUGACGAUAUUUGCCAGUUUAUCCUACCUUAUAUUGUUGUGCAUUGUUUUCUUUAUUUGUUUUAUUUUUUAUAGUUCAGUCUCAAUUUACUUGUAGUUUUGUGUAUUGGAGCAAUUAGUAAAAUAUCUGAUUCAGAAGUUGUUUGUAUUUUUGUAUUGUUCCACUCUAACUCAAUUGCAGGGAUCGGAACUUCUAAAACCUAAUGAACGAUAUGAGAACUUGGUUGUGAGGAAUAUAUCAACUAUGCCUGCUCCUAAGAAGUUGGUCCAGCCAUCGUCUAAUGGAAUUCCAGCACCCCCACCAAGAACUACGCCUCCACCACCUCCAAAAAGAGCUAUGCCCCCACCACCUCCUCCACCUAAAUUUUAUGAUUCAAUUGAAGUUAAAGUACAAGACAAGAGCAAUAGUUUACGGAAGACAAAAUCUGAUGCUAUUCCUGGUUCGCAUUUAUCAACUUUAAUAUUGUUUUGAUGUUUCAUUAUGUGUUCUCUAUAUAAUGUGUAUGUAUGAAACUUUUACUGUCUGCUAAGUGUGAUGAUUCUUUAAUUGACUUUGUAAUGUUUUCUUUAUUGUCCAUCUUUUAGAUUUGUGUGUAAUUUUAGGUAUUUAUUUCAGAUACUUUGGUCAAGCUAAUGGAAUAUGGUGACGACGACGACGACGAUGAUCUAGACGAUUCAAAUGCGGAAAUGCCUCCUCGCACAGCCCAAGCAAUUGGGGCUCAAAAGCCUUUCUGGGCCUUGUGAUCUGUAGUGUGGAUGUCAGACAUAAGUGAUGUAAAUAAGCAAUUGUUUUGGUUGAGAUUUAGCCAUUUCAUCAGUGUUCUUGGUGAUUGCUGGUUAGUUACUUUUCAGUGCAAUGGCGGGUGGAGAUCCCUGAGCAUGAUUUUUGGAGAAAAGAGAGUUGGUUGUCAGGUAGCAUUUGAAAUCUACAGGCUAUAUUGCACAUUCUCAUCUGCUUUCCAGAUGUCUGUUGUAAUUUUUUGUCCUAAUUUCAGUAUGCAUUGCAUAUACACCAGUAGUCGAUUUUUUUAGUAGUUUAGUUUGCCAUCAAUAUGAUGAUAGUUGGCGAACUCUUUACAACUAGUCCUAACUGAUAACUGAAACUGUAGCUCCCAGUCCCAGUUUGUGAAAUAUGUUUGUAUUUCCAUCCUCCUAUUACGUUUUACCUAUCAUGUAUUUCUUACAAAUCUCAAUUUUUAGCUAGUAGAAUUUGUAGCAAAUUUUCUGGAUGGAUUAAUAUAGAUGGUUGCGAUUUCCAAAUGCUAUUCCAAUUCUGAUUAGCAACGACAAUAUUCGAUCCAGAUCUCCAUCUGCAUAUUCGAUCCAGAUCUCCAUCCCACAACACUCAUCCAUCAGGUUAAUCUAACAGUUAAGAGGUUAAACCAAUAAGACAAAUUAGAAUAAGUAGAAGAAUAGCCAUCGGAUGGCCGCCCAUGGCGACAUGUUCGACAGGCUGGUUAAUCUAAAAUUAUAUGAUUUUUUAUUCACCUUGAAAUCAUAUUGCUCAAAUGUAAAUUUGUUGAACUGAUUUGUUCGAUAUAUGUUAAAGUAAUUACACAUUUGUGAAAAGAAAAAAUUGUUGGAAUUCAUUUUUGCGAAGAGGAAGUGUUGAUUUAUAUAUAUAGAAGACUGCUUUUAAAAUAUGUCAUUUUGUAGCACUUUAUAAAAUUGUGACCAUGAUCAUUUGUUUUCUUCCCAAAUCCCAUGGAAUAAAAACAUGGAUCAUGUUAGAAUAACAAUCUUGAUAACGAAGUUCGGCCAAUUUUGCAUGUCUCCCUCCAACUGCAAAACAAUUGUAUAGUUCCACUAUAUUAUCAAUGAAAUAUUAGGGAUUAUUGUAUACAAUUCGUAUUUAAAUACGACACUCUUAUUUUUAAGCCAUAGUCAGCAACAUACCCUCUUCUAUCUCUCAAACAAAUAAGGGAGAAGGGUGUUAAAGAGUGUAGAGAAGAUAAUGGUGAAACGGAAAAGAGUAUGGUUGUAGUUACUAUUCCAUAAAUCCGCUACCAUUGAGUUAAUUCUCUUUAUUUUAAAAGUUUUGUCAAAGAAUACUCUAUUCCAUAAAUCCGCUACCAUUGAGUUAAAAUAUUAGUAUAUUACUCCAUUGUGUUAAAUAUUAAUAUAUUAUUAUUCCAUUUUGUUUCAAAAUAUAAGUCACUUUUUUUAAGUAGAAGAAAUGACAAAACUAUUAUAAAUUCACACACACAAGUGGAGAUGUAAGGCUUCGAAACUCAAUUAUGGUGUUUGACUUAACAGUUUUGACAUUUUAUCAGUUGAGCUAGCACUUGUGAACAUAUAAGUCACUUAUUUAUUCACCAAAAAUACUCAUGAAUAUUCCCAGUAAAAUAUAUACUCUUUUGGACAAUUUUAUGUGUGGAAGGAUAAACUGAAUAUUAAAUUCUUUAGAGAACAAAAAAAAAAAGUUAGGCCAAUUUUCUAAUAAGAAAUAGAUUCAAGAAAGAAAACACGUUAAGUUUGCAACACAACAUCAAAAUGGAAAUAUUAAACCAAAAAUUAAGAAACUAAUCACUUUAUUAUUAGCAUAACAAAAGUCCAAAUGAACUUGGAAACAAGAAGAGAUAAUAAACUAUCCCCAAUCAUUACCCAAACAACAAAACUUAAAAUGCAGAUCAUAAACCACUACAAAGUUUGUAGAUGCAAACUCUUAUUACAAGUUUUUCCCCACAAAUAAAUGUUUUACUCUCACCGUAACUUAUUUCUAUCCGGUGUUGGGCUCGCCAAGAUAUCCGCCACUAUUUAUAGUCGCAGUGGUGGAGAUGUUGGGAACCGACAUAGACCGGAUAUGCAUAACAAGCCUACGCAACAUUUUUUAUCAAAACCAUUGCAUUUUUCGCUAAAUGUCUUACAUUUUUUUGGCUUGUCGCAGUUUAAUAUAUUCCCAUUUCUACAGAGGCAGGUUCCUACAAAUCCCCCAUUACAAACUAACGAUUUAUCACAACAUGUUUUAUCAAAACCAUUGCAAGGUUGACCAUAGUUACCAUCUGGACAAAUGGCCUGAGAUAUGGUAGCCAAAACCACCAAGGUAAGCAUGAGAACCCAAAUAACUUUAUUGCUGCUCAUCUCCUUAUCUUCUUUCUCUUUAUUACUUAUAAUAUAUGACUUGUGUAUGAGUAUUUGUGUGUGUAUCAAAAUGAAACUAAAUUCUCAUUUUAUAGGCAUUAUGUUGUAGUAAAUUAUAUAUUUAAUUUGUCAUGUGUGAAGAAGGAUUAGAAUAAGAUAUACUGAAAGGGGGUAGGAAGCUGCUGGGUAUAAAAUCUUCAAGAUUGUACUACGGAGCACAUGGUUAUAAAACUAUGUAAAGUAUUGAUCUCUUUUAAAUUUUUUAAUCAAAAGAAAUGGUGACUAUCACAUCUUCUUUAUUCUUAUGCUUAAAAAUUUUAUAUAAAUUCAGUAAUUUUCAUAUUUUUUCUACUUAUUUGAUCGAUACAAAGUAUUACUCAUCUUUAAGUUGAUUUCUACAAAUAAAUGCUCGUAUGAGACGGAUUUACUAUAAAUUAUGUGAAUUUACGAUAAAUCCGUCUCAUGCAAGCGGUUUGCUAGGAUAUAUUGAUCAUUCUUAUUGUUCACGUCGCUGGUAAGAGUCUAAAUCAUCUAUAUCACUGAGUAGAGUAAUGGUAUUGUUAAGUUAUUAAGUCGUUAAGAUUAGGAGUAUGAAGGUUUAGCAAUUAGCAUAAUGCAAAUUACCAAAAGCAUGGAUCUGUUGUUAGAAUGAUAUACUAUUUUUUUUUUACAGGGGAUGAUAUUCAUUAUAUGAGGAACACCUCAUACAAUUCCCUCCUCCUCCUCAUCAUCGCCUUCAACUUUUCUACCUCCUUAGUCGUCGAGGGUUGUGACCCCGACGACGAGAGGUCACUCUUCAAAAUCAAGAGUGCCUUCAACAAUGUCAGCUACUUCUCUACAUGGAUGGAUCAAUUUGCAAUGCAAGAUAAUUCUGAAAACCAUGUCCUCUCGUGUCAACAUCCUCACGAUUUUCAGCUCGAACAAAAUCGUGGGCGAAAUCCCAGCAUCCAUUCCAGAGCUCACGUACCCAUAGACCUUAAUCCUCAACAUUAACCCUAACCUCUCCGGACCUAUCCCUAAUUUCUUAAUGAGGUUAAGACACAUGCAUACCCUCAAACUCGACAACAACCGAUUAACUAGUUCCAUUCCCACUUUCUUUGUUAGGCUCCCAAAUCUUCAGCGAAUAAACCUUCAACAAAACAAGCUGAAUGGAAGAAUCCCACCUACAUUCGGCUCCCUAGUGCCCAACUUCUUUGUAUUCUUUCGGGAAACCUAUCUUGGGUCAUAUCCCGAGGUUCUUAUGGCAAGUUAAUUUUGAUAUUCUUGACCUCAGCGGGAAUGAAUUGAAGAGUGACGCUUCUUUUCUAUUUGGGGAGAAUAAAACAAACACUCAGAUCCUCAACUUGUCGUGCAAUCACUUGUUGUUUGAUCUGACUAACGUGGUAAUGCCGGUAGGAGAAGAUAUCCCGAUCUUGUCAUCCUUGGACUUGAGCUACAAUCAUUUAUACAAAUGGUUGCCAGCUUGGUUAGGCCAAGCCCCAUUGUUGCACCAGUUUAAUAUGUAGUGUUGUUAUGAGAGCAUCUGAGGGUGAAGUUAGGGGGUUGCUCCAAGGCCUCAAUUGGAUUGUCUCUUUAGAAUACAAUCAUGUGAUCUUUGAAUUAGAUUGCAAAAUGGUUAUUGAUGAUGUGCACUCAGAGAAGUUGAAUCACUUGAAGUAUGGUUCAGUUUUGCAAGAUUGUAAAAUCUUACUUGAAAAUUAUAACAACUAUCAAGUUGUGUUUACUACGUCAAGCAAACGGUAGCUCAUACUCUUGCAAUGAGAGCUUUACCUCAUGUUUCUCGCAAUAUUUUUGAUUUAAUUCUCGGUUAUUUUGCUACCAUUUUUUGAAUAAAUUGCCUUAUAUUUGCUUGCAUAAAAAAAAUAAUGUGACCCUGAUUUUUCCGAUGUAAUUAAGAACCCUUUGAAUAUAAACAUGUGUUGAGGAAGUAAGCCACAGCUAAGGAAGUUGUUGCCAAAAUUCGAUCUUUCCUCCCUCUCAAGCACACAAGGAAAAAGUGUGUUAAGGUGCAGAGAAAGAGAUUGGAGAAAAGUAAGAAGACAAAUAGAGAGGAUGGAGAAGAUAUAGAUUAUUUAAAAAUGGUCUAAAUUUGUAUUCAUCAUACCCCCUUCGUCCAAAAAUAAUAAACAAAAAUAGGUCAAUAAAAUUUGAUAUAAAUUUUGAACCAAAAACAUCAACUUUUGCUUGUCAAUACUUAUAUUUUAGUACGGAUGGAGUAUACUGUUACCAAACACUAACUAACGAAGAAAAAAUCUUAAAUUUCCCUUUACACCAGUUAAUGAUAUCAUGGUGCCUAAGAAAGAAAAAGUACAAAAUUGCACCAGUAAAUUACACUCACUCCUCUUGAACUUCGGUUAUGCGACGUCUAACCCCGUUCUUAUGAGAGUUAACAUCCUCCAACUUGGCAAUACCGGAACGGAAAUAAUUACUACUCCAAUCUUGAAUAUAAAAAAAAUAAAAAAAUAAAUCAAACAAGAUUGAUUUUUGAUGUAACUAGUUUAAAAUAUGAACUAGAUACAUCUGGUUUGGUUAGCUAUUUUCUUUUUGCUUAUAUUGUUAACCGGAUGGAGUAGUAGUAACAAACACAAUUCUUUGACCUCCACUUUUUUUUUUCAUAAACAAGGCCUAAAUCAAGCUUAAACUUCAUUUAUCAACCAUUAAACUAGUACCGAAAUCUCCAGUAGUCAAAAGAAACCAGCCAUCUCUCAAACCAUUUACACAAAAUAUCAAACACUAGUAUUCCCAUUCGAACAAGGAAAAAACUUUCCACACUCCAACAUGAGUUAAUACACAAAAAAAAUAAAAAAAAACAAAUUAAGUGCCAUCUGAAAAUACACAGAAAAUUUAUGUUGUUCUAAAAUACACUUCUAAAAGAAUAAUUUUGAUUAACUAUUGGUGUAAAUUUUCCUAAAUUAUCAACCAAUCACAAAAUUUUAUAUGUAUGCCUUUUAAGUUAGAUAUGAUAAAGUCAAACAUUUUCAAUGAUCAAACGGUUAUAAUUUACUGACAGUUUAGAUAUGGUGAAAAUCAAACCUUUUCAAUGAUCAAACUACUGACAGUGCAAAAUAUCUUUACAGUGUAAAGAAUCUUUACAUCGUCAAAACAUAUGAAUCCCUUCAAAACAUGUGAGAUAUUUACAAGCUAAGUAGCUGCUUUAAAACGGUCAACUCUUAUGCCAACUUGACCUUAACCAUUAUGGUAAAACCAAAGCAUCCCUUAUUUUUAACCUCUACCCUGUCAAAUGCAGAUACUAAUCAACACCAAAUAAAAUAAUUGUCACAUCAGAGUGAUCUUCUAUUCCUCUAGGAGUGAGGGAUAACACUAUCUCAAAUAGAUUGUUGCUCAAUUCUCAAAACAUUAAUGUCACAUUACUGACUAUAAAUAAUAAAGUCGGUUUUUGUAUCAAAUGGUUGAAAAAGUAAAUCAUUAUAAAUGUAAUAGCAAACAAUCCUAGAAAGCUCUUAUUUUUACAUCAGUCAUUGAGCUGACAAACUAUCAAAUUGAAGCCAAACAACGAAGUUCUGAAAACACAUUUGAUUAUAUCAUCAAUCCUCAAUUUACUUGCUCUACGCAAGGAAUUCCUUCAUGAUGAAAAUACACUCACCUCAUCUACGGGUCUCAGCAUAGUCAUCAGAUUGAUCAUUGUUCUCUGGCACAUGGUUGUUUUCUAACGGCUCACCGAAUUCAUUCUUACCAGCGUCAUAUCCCAAAUUAGAGUUGCUGCUGAAUUCACCACCAGCAGCAGAAGUAGUACCGACAUGGCCACCAGUAUAGCUGUCUGGGGCACCACCACUUGCAUAGCUUCCACUACUGUUAUAAUCAUUGCGACCAUAUGUACUACCACCACCACCACCGUAGUUUCCGCCACCAUAAUUUCCGCCACCAUAAUUUCCGCCACCACCACCAUAAUUUCCACCACCACCACUAUAGCCACCACCACCACCAUAGCCACCGCCGCCGCCAUAGCCACCGCCGCCACCAUAACCACCGCCACCAAACCCAGGACGCGCCCUUUCUGUAGCAUAGUUCACUCGUACUGUCCGACCAUCAAGUUCCUGUGACAACCAACAUAAUUUAGAUGCUACAAGAAACAUUGCCAACAUCGAGUUUUGCAAAGAGCAGCAAAAUGAGUCAAUUGAAAUAAACAGUAACAAUUACUAGUUGACAGUGAAAGACAACUGCCAUAUAAAAAAAAUUGUACAAAUAUAAGUUGGUAAAAUGUUUUACAAAAUCCUAUCCCUCUGUGCCACAAUAAUUGUCACAUCAUCACAAAAUUAUUACUACUCUCUAACCGAUACUAUAUGCAUCAUUCCCAGGUCAUUAUAUUUCAAUUUGCAUUUAUGAUAAAGGUGAAUACACCAAUGCUUAACAAGGAUAAUUUGGUAAAAAUAAUAUUCUCUAUCUUUCAUUAAUAGUUUUUCCUUGAAUUUGUGAAACAAGCAAGUAUGCAAAUUAUUAUAGGAUGGAGGUAUAUCUUUUUGGGCUUUUGAAAUCUAAUUCCCAUUUUGAAAGAAUUUGCAUGGUUUCUCUAAUAUCAUCCUUUUUAAAUAUAUUCUUCAAGAAAUCUAAAAAAUGUAAAAACAGAUUAUGUAGAACAAAGAAUCAUUAACAAAGAGAAUACCUUAGGAUAUUACAGCCACAUGUGCAUUUAUUAUUCCUAUCUUAUCUUGGCUAAAUAAAUGCAAUUGCUUCCUCCAAGUAUGAACAAAAGGUGUUUUACUAUUUCAUAAAUGAGGUAGUAAGUCAUGCUUGCCAUGUGAAUUGGUGAAUUUUAGAAUUUAAAGAUGAUAUCAUCACGAAAACUGAUAAUACCUUGUUAUCCAUGGCCUGCAGGGCAGAGGAUGCUUCCUC
RNAcentral lists this long non-coding RNA (44410 nucleotides) under Medicago truncatula (barrel medic). Its description in RNAcentral is "long non-coding RNA (MTRU_LNC004704)". The stretch from base 27270 to 27384 matches the Rfam family "MIR2593 microRNA precursor family". The record is from RNAcentral. Lineage: Eukaryota; Viridiplantae; Streptophyta; Magnoliopsida; Fabales; Fabaceae.